This 529-nucleotide non-coding RNA is filed under the name Trichomonas vaginalis G3. RNAcentral describes it as "Eukaryotic large subunit ribosomal RNA". It matches the Rfam family "Eukaryotic large subunit ribosomal RNA", at positions 1885 to 2622 of the family's 3401-position model. The record is from Rfam by way of RNAcentral. Lineage: Eukaryota; Parabasalia; Trichomonadida; Trichomonadidae.
GGCCAUUGAGGCAUGAUAGUUCAGGGAAUUCGGCCAAUUAGAGCUGUAACUUCGGGAUAAAGCUUGGCUCUGAUGAAAAUCAGAACCGAUUGUUACGCGGAGAGCCCAACUGUUUAAUAAAAACGUAGUGUCGCGCUGUGGUAGUAUAGCCAGUGAACGCGACAUGAAUCCUGCUCAGUGCUGUGUCUGUUAAUAUGGUUCAAGCCAACGAAGCACCGGUAAAUAGCUGGGGUAACUAUGACUCUUAUCAAAGUAGCGAAAUACCUCGUCACUUAAUUAGUGACCUGCAUGAACGGAGCUAUGAGGUUCUCACUGUCCCAAACUGUCUCUCAGCGAACCAACUGUAGUGGGAACGGUCACUAGAUAUCCAGCGGGGAAAGAAGACCCUGUAGAGCUUCACUUUGGUCUAGUCUUGUAUAGUUCCUGCGGGGGUGUAGACUAGGUGGGAGAGCAAUCGAUUAUGAAAAACCACUACCCUGUUUGGAAUUAUGCUUACCUAUCACAAGGAAUAGGACUAGAUAGAAAGUUU